RNAcentral lists this ribosomal RNA (253 nucleotides) under uncultured bacterium. RNAcentral describes it as "partial 16S ribosomal RNA". It matches the Rfam family "Bacterial small subunit ribosomal RNA", at positions 524 to 776 of the family's 1533-position model. The record is from RNAcentral.
UACAGAGGUCUCAAGCGUUGUUCGGAUUCAUUGGGCGUAAAGGGUGCGUAGGCGGCGCAGUAAGUCGGGUGUGAAAUCUCGGGGCUUAACUCCGAAACUGCAUUCGAUACUGCCGUGCUUGAGGACUGGAGAGGAGACUGGAAUUUACGGUGUAGCGGUGAAAUGCGUAGAUAUCGUAAGGAAGACCAGUGGCGAAGGCGGGUCUCUGGACAGUUCCUGACGCUGAGGCACGAAGGUCAGGGGAGCAAACGGG